ACGUCAUCAAGGUGAUAGACCUGCGCCAGGACACAGGAGAGUUUGUGGAGAGGGCCCAAGCGGAUCAUCCUUAUCCUCCCACCAAACUCAUGUGGCAUCCCUCUCCUUCCCUUUCUUCCUCCUCUGACCUCC
RNAcentral lists this non-coding RNA (132 nucleotides) under Gloeochaete wittrockiana. Lineage: Eukaryota; Glaucocystophyceae; Gloeochaetales; Gloeochaetaceae. The record is from RNAcentral.